RNAcentral lists this transfer RNA (71 nucleotides) under Triticum aestivum (bread wheat). It matches the Rfam family "tRNA". From Rfam's summary of the family: Transfer RNA (tRNA) molecules are approximately 80 nucleotides in length. Their secondary structure includes four short double-helical elements and three loops (D, anti-codon, and T loops). Lineage: Eukaryota; Viridiplantae; Streptophyta; Magnoliopsida; Poales; Poaceae. RNAcentral also lists the same sequence under 1 other name. The record is from Rfam by way of RNAcentral.
AUCCACUACUCAGUUGGUAGAGCACAAAGCUCUUAACCUUAUGGACGUGGGUUCAAGCCCCAUGGUGGAUA